RNAcentral lists this ribosomal RNA (253 nucleotides) under uncultured bacterium. RNAcentral's name for it is "partial 16S ribosomal RNA". It matches the Rfam family "Bacterial small subunit ribosomal RNA", at positions 524 to 776 of the family's 1533-position model. The record is from RNAcentral.
UACGAAGGGGGCUAGCGUUGCUCGGAAUCACUGGACGUAAAGGGUGCGUAGGCGGGUUUUUAAGUCAGGGGUGAAAUCCUGGAGCUCAACUCCAGAACUGCCUUUGAUACUGAAGAUCUUGAGUCCGGGAGAGGUGAGUGGAACUGCGAGUGUAGAGGUGAAAUUCGUAGAUAUUCGCAAGAACACCAGUGGCGAAGGCGGCUCACUGGCCCGGUACUGACGCUGAGGCACGAAAGCGUGGGGAGCAAACAGG